Poecilia reticulata (guppy) is the source of this 114-nucleotide non-coding RNA. NCBI's taxonomy places the organism in Eukaryota, Metazoa, Chordata, Actinopteri, Cyprinodontiformes, Poeciliidae. The record is from RefSeq and is a predicted model, not a curated record.
UGUUUUUUUAAAAAAAAAAAAAAACAAAAAAAAAACAAAGAUUUUUGCAACUUGGUCACAUUGUUCUUUGACAUACAAAGAAAGCAUUCCCUAACACAACAGAGUACCUCAGAA